GGGAAGGUAGCGCAGAGGUCGACGCACCCUCUAGCUAAGAGGGAAGACGCCGGUUCGAAUCCGGCCCACCCCGCCG
This 76-nucleotide transfer RNA is filed under the name Streptomyces sp. CB02120-2. RNAcentral's name for it is "tRNA-Ser". It matches the Rfam family "tRNA". Rfam says of the family: Transfer RNA (tRNA) molecules are approximately 80 nucleotides in length. Their secondary structure includes four short double-helical elements and three loops (D, anti-codon, and T loops). Further hydrogen bonds mediate the characteristic L-shaped molecular structure. tRNAs have two regions of fundamental functional importance: the anti-codon, which is responsible for specific mRNA codon recognition, and the 3' end, to which the tRNAs corresponding amino acid is attached (by aminoacyl-tRNA synthetases). tRNAs cope with the degeneracy of the genetic code in two manners: having more than one tRNA (with a specific anti-codon) for a particular amino acid; and 'wobble' base-pairing, i.e. permitting non-standard base-pairing at the 3rd anti-codon position. Lineage: Bacteria; Bacillati; Actinomycetota; Actinomycetes; Kitasatosporales; Streptomycetaceae. The record is from RNAcentral.